GACGAACGCUGGCGGCGCGCUUAACACAUGCAAGUCGAACGUGAAGCCCGGGCUUGCCCGGGUGGAAAGUGGCGAACGGGUGCGUAACACGUGAGCAACCUGCCCCGAAGACCGGGAUAACAGCGGGAAACCGCUGCUAAUACCGGAUGCCCUCAUCAUGUCGCAUGGCGAGAUGAGGAAAUGGAUUCCGCUUCGGGAUGGGCUCGCGGCCUAUCAGCUUG
This 221-nucleotide ribosomal RNA is filed under the name uncultured bacterium. Its description in RNAcentral is "partial 16S ribosomal RNA". It matches the Rfam family "Bacterial small subunit ribosomal RNA", at positions 28 to 248 of the family's 1533-position model. The record is from RNAcentral.